GUAGGGAAUCUUCCACAAUGGGCGCAAGCCUGAUGGAGCAACACCGCGUGAGUGAAGAAGGGUUUCGCUCGUAAAGCUCUGUUGUUGGAGAAGAACGUGCGUGAGAGUAACUGUUCACGCAGUGACGGUAUCCCAACCAGAAAG
This 144-nucleotide ribosomal RNA is filed under the name uncultured bacterium. Its description in RNAcentral is "partial 16S ribosomal RNA". It matches the Rfam family "Bacterial small subunit ribosomal RNA", at positions 354 to 490 of the family's 1533-position model. The record is from RNAcentral.